GAUCCUGACUCAGGAUGAACGCUGGCGGCGUGCCUAACACAUGCAAGUCGAACGAAGCUUGACGGAUGAUUUCUUCGGAAUGAAAACCAGAUAUGACUUAGUGGCGGACGGGUGAGUAACACGUGAGCAACCUGCCUUUCAGAGGGGGAUAACGGCUGGAAACGGUCGCUAAUACCGCAUGAUGUGUUCGGAUGGCAUCAUCUGAACAUCAAAGAUUUAUCGCUGAAAGA
Molecule: ribosomal RNA, 230 nt
Filed under: uncultured bacterium
Lineage: Bacteria
Description: partial 16S ribosomal RNA
Rfam family: Bacterial small subunit ribosomal RNA
Source: RNAcentral